GUUUAUCAAAAACAUGUCCUUUAGAGUUAAGUUUAAGGUNUGNCCUGCCCACUGAUAUAUUAAAUGNCCGCAGUAUUUUAANUGUGCAAAGGUAGCAUAAUCAUUAGUUUUUUAAUUGAAGACUUGUAUGAAGGGUUGGACAAGAUAUAUAUUGUUUCAUAUAAAUUUAUAGAAUUUUAUUUUUUAGUUAAAAAGCUAAAAUUUUAUUAAAAGACGAGAAGACCCUAUAGAUCUUUAUAGUUAUUAAAUUUUAUUUAUUAAGAAUAUUUUAUAUUUAAUUUGAAUAANUAUUUUAUUGGGGUGAUAGUAAGAUUAAUUUAANUCUUAUGUGAUUAANACAUAAAUUAAUGAUUAGUUGAUCCAAUAUUAUUGAUUAAUAAAAUAAGUUACCUUAGGGAUAACAGCGUAAUUUUUUUGGAGAGUCCAUAUCGAUAAAAAAGAUUGCGACCUCGAUGUUGGAUUAAGANAUAAGC
RNAcentral lists this ribosomal RNA (473 nucleotides) under Prosoeca cf. olivacea. RNAcentral's name for it is "partial large subunit ribosomal RNA". It matches the Rfam family "Bacterial large subunit ribosomal RNA", at positions 1802 to 2549 of the family's 2925-position model. Lineage: Eukaryota; Metazoa; Arthropoda; Insecta; Diptera; Nemestrinidae. The record is from RNAcentral.